CUCCUUUGAAGUUAGCGGCGGACGGGUGAGUAACGCGUGGGUAACCUACCUAUAAGACUGGGAUAACUUCGGGAAACCGGAGCUAAUACCGGAUAACAUUUAGAACCGCAUGGUUCUAAAGUGAAAGAUGGUUUUGCUAUCACUUAUAGAUGGACCCGCGCCGUAUUAGCUAGUUGGUAAGGUAACGGCUUACCAAGGCGACGAUACGUAGCCGACCUGAGAGGGUGAUCGGCCACACUGGAACUGAGACACGGUCCAGACUCCUACGGAAGGCAGCAG
Molecule: ribosomal RNA, 279 nt
Filed under: uncultured bacterium
Lineage: Bacteria
Description: partial 16S ribosomal RNA
Rfam family: Bacterial small subunit ribosomal RNA
Source: RNAcentral